This 465-nucleotide ribosomal RNA is filed under the name uncultured bacterium. RNAcentral's name for it is "partial 16S ribosomal RNA". It matches the Rfam family "Bacterial small subunit ribosomal RNA", at positions 338 to 795 of the family's 1533-position model. The record is from RNAcentral.
CCUACGGGUGGCAGCAGUAGGGAAUCUUCCACAAUGGACGAAAGUCUGAUGGAGCAACGCCGCGUGAGUGAAGAAGGGUUUCGGCUCGUAAAGCUCUGUUGGUAGUGAAGAAAGAUAGAGGUAGUAACUGGCCUUUAUUUUACGUUACUUACUUAGACAGUCCCGGCUCACUACGUGCCAGCAGCCGCGUUAAUACGUAGGUGGCAAGCGUUGUCCGGUUUUAUUGGGCGUAAAGCGAGUGCAGGCGGUUCAAUAAGUCUGAUGUGAAAGCCGUCGGCUCAACCGGAGAAUUGCAUCAGAAACUGUUGAACUUGAGUGCAGAAGAGGAGAGUGGAACUCCAUGUGUAGCGGUGGAAUGCGUAGAUAUAUGGAAGAACACCAGUGGCGAAGGCGGCUCGCUGGGCUGCAACUGACGCUGAGGCUCGAAAGCAUGGGUAGCGAACAGGAUUAGAUACCCGUGUAGUC